UUUUGCUUCAGUGGUACAUAUUAUAAAUUGGAACGAUACAGAGAAGAUUAGCAUGGUCUGUGUGCAAGCAUGACAUGCAAAAUUGUGAAGCAUUAUAUAUUAAA
Molecule: small nuclear RNA, 104 nt
Organism: Cimex lectularius (bed bug)
Lineage: Eukaryota; Metazoa; Arthropoda; Insecta; Hemiptera; Cimicidae
Source: RefSeq, a predicted model, not a curated record